Molecule: ribosomal RNA, 34 nt
Filed under: Schizothyrium cylindricum
Lineage: Eukaryota; Fungi; Ascomycota; Dothideomycetes; Mycosphaerellales; Schizothyriaceae
Description: partial 18S ribosomal RNA
Source: RNAcentral
AAAGGUCUCGUAGUGACCUGCGGAGGGAUCAUUA